This 315-nucleotide RNase MRP RNA is filed under the name Drosophila mojavensis. RNAcentral describes it as "RNase MRP". It matches the Rfam family "RNase MRP". Rfam says of the family: RNase MRP is an enzymatically active ribonucleoprotein with two distinct roles in eukaryotes. In mitochondria it plays a direct role in the initiation of mitochondrial DNA replication. In the nucleus it is involved in precursor rRNA processing, where it cleaves the internal transcribed spacer 1 between 18S and 5.8S rRNAs. Lineage: Eukaryota; Metazoa; Arthropoda; Insecta; Diptera; Drosophilidae. The record is from Rfam by way of RNAcentral.
UGAGUUUUCCUUGCUUGUCUCUCGGGGUCACAAACGAGCUCCUGGUAGCUCUUAAAUUGCCACCCUGGGUAAAGUCCCCGGGCCUAGGAUAGAAAGUAUCAAGGCGUAAAACAAUUUGUACUUGUACAAAUUCGCCUAUAUUUCGCGGUAUUUCGCCUUGCGUAUUCCAAUGAAGAGAGACCCGCUCUAAGGGUCUCGAAUUGUUGCGCUCGGUUGACUGCGGAAAUGUGCCAGAGUUUGCUAAGAUAUGGACGAGUAGUGGGCGUGUCUGCGUGCACGCCUACUACACGGAAUGGGGCUUACUUAGGGAAAUUC